AGGAGCUUUCCCCCAUCAACUGUGUGAGGAAAAGGUCAUAUAAGACUGAUCAAGAGCACUUCAGGGCUUGGGUGGACUCUUCCAACCCCCCAAAGAAAAGCAUUGACCAGCACAGGAUGUGUAUCAAGUAGAAAGUUAUAAAAAAUAUCAGCCGUGUACACUUUGCAUUCUGUGUGAAUUCGAGGACAAAGAUAUAAAAGCCAUAAAGAAGUUGACCUAUGUGGAUAGCAAAUGGUUCCCUGUUCUUGGCUUGCUUCUGCCGUGAAAUGUCUGUUACUUCUCUUUUGAGCUUUGGAACAAAAUCUCGUUCUCACCUAAACUGUUACAAAAUGAGAAACAGAUGAUGGAGCCUAUUUGUGCUGGUGAGGAAAGCCCACUGAAGUGAGGAAGCAGAAAAUGGCUUACCUGGGAAAAGAAGUCUGGCUCUCAUGAAAGGGCCAUAUGGCACUGAUUUGAAUUCAGAAUGUAGAGCCAAUAUUAAUCAACUCCUUUACUAUUGAUCUAUUUAUUCAGUCCUGUGCUACUGAUUUGUAGUGAUAGCCCGUUGAAAUCGAUAGCCUUGCUUGGUAUUUCUGCAGUGCCAGGUAUGGGUGUCUAUUUGCUAGGCAUGACCAGUAUUCUUGAGAGCACUUAACUGGCUAAAGAAAUGAUGGGGAAACCAGAAUGACCAUGUGUUUUUUAUUCUAAUACAGUAAAUCCUCCCUAAUUUGCACAAAAUACUGGCUGUCCUUCUCUUCCCUCUACUAUG
Molecule: non-coding RNA, 748 nt
Organism: Pelodiscus sinensis (Chinese soft-shelled turtle)
Lineage: Eukaryota; Metazoa; Chordata; Testudines; Trionychidae
Source: RefSeq, a predicted model, not a curated record